GAUGAAGAACGCAGCGAAAUGCGAUACGUAGUGUGAAUUGCAGAAUUCAGUGAAUCAUCGAAUCUUUGAACGCACAUUGCGCCCCUUGGUAUUCCAUGGGGCAUGCCUGUUCGAGCGUCAUUUGUACCUUCAAGCUCUGCUUGGUGUUGGGUGUUUGUCUCGCCUCUGCGUGUAGACUCGCCUCAAAACAAUUGGCAGCCGGCGUAUUGAUUUCGGAGCGCAGUACAUCUCGCGCUUUGCACUCAUAACGACGACGUCCAAAAGUACAUUUUUACACUCUUGACCUCGGAUCAGGUAGGGAUACCCGCUGAACUUAAGCAUAUCAAUAAGCGGAGGA
This 337-nucleotide unclassified non-coding RNA is filed under the name soil metagenome. RNAcentral's name for it is "partial contains 5.8S ribosomal RNA, internal transcribed spacer 2, and large subunit ribosomal RNA". The stretch from base 1 to 120 matches the Rfam family "5.8S ribosomal RNA", at positions 35 to 154 of the family's 154-position model. The record is from RNAcentral.